AAUGAACGCUGGCGGCAUGCCUAACACAUGCAAGUCGAACGAAGGCUUCGGCCUUAGUGGCGCACGGGUGCGUAACGCGUGGGAAUCUGCCCUCAGGGUCGGAAUAACAGCGAGAAAUUGCUGCUAAUACCGGAUGAUAUCGCGAGAUCAAAGAUUUAUCGCCUGAGGAUGAGCCCGCGUAGGAUUAGCUAGUUGGUGUGGUAAAGGCGCACCAAGGCGACGUUCCUUAGCUGGUCUGAGAGGAUGAUCAGCCACACUGGGACUGAGACACGGCCCAGACUCCUACGGGAGGCAGCAGUGGGGAAUAUUGGACAAUGGGCGAAAGCCUGAUCCAGCAAUGCCGCGUGAGUGAUGAAGGCCUUAGGGUUGUAAAGCUCUUUUACCCGGGAUGAUAAUGACAGUACCGGGAGAAUAAGCUCCGGCUAACUCCGUGCCAGCCGCCGCGGUAA
RNAcentral lists this ribosomal RNA (449 nucleotides) under uncultured bacterium. RNAcentral describes it as "partial 16S ribosomal RNA". It matches the Rfam family "Bacterial small subunit ribosomal RNA", at positions 29 to 523 of the family's 1533-position model. The record is from RNAcentral.